AUUGAACGCUGGCGGCAUGCUUUACACAUGCAAGUCGAACGGUAACAGCACUUCGGUGGCUGACGAGUGGCGAACGGGUGAGUAAUACAUCGGAACGUGCCUAGUAGUGGGGGAUAACUACUCGAAAGAGUAGCUAAUACCGCAUGAGAUCUAAGGAUGAAAGCAGGGGACCUUCGGGCCUUGCGCUACUAGAGCGGCUGAUGGCAGAUUAGGUAGUUGGUGGGAUAAAAGCUUACCAAGCCGACGAUCUGUAGCUGGUCUGAGAGGACGACCAGCCACACUGGGACUGAGACACGGCCCAGACUCCUACGGGAGGCAGCAGUGGGGAAUUUUGGACAAUGGGCGCAAGCCUGAUCGAGCAAUGCCGCGUGCAGGAUGAAGGCCUUCGGGUUGUAAACUGCUUUUGUACGGAACGAAAAGCCCUCUUCUAAUACAGGAGGGUCAUGACGGUACCGUAAGAAUAAGCACCGGCUAACUACGUG
RNAcentral lists this ribosomal RNA (482 nucleotides) under uncultured bacterium. RNAcentral's name for it is "partial 16S ribosomal RNA". It matches the Rfam family "Bacterial small subunit ribosomal RNA", at positions 30 to 507 of the family's 1533-position model. The record is from RNAcentral.